RNAcentral lists this long non-coding RNA (2593 nucleotides) under Linum usitatissimum (flax). RNAcentral's name for it is "long non-coding RNA (LUSI_LNC008066)". Lineage: Eukaryota; Viridiplantae; Streptophyta; Magnoliopsida; Malpighiales; Linaceae. The record is from RNAcentral.
UAAAUACUCCAGAUCCGAAAAAAUCACUUCUUUAAGCUUACUGAUUGCUAAUUUCGUUGUUUAGGGUACCGAAAGGGACUAUGAACGAGCGGCGGAAGCAUACAUGCAUGCAAAGUCUCAAUCCAACGCACAAGCCAUGUUCAACCUCGGUUACAUGCACGAGCAUGGGCAAGGUCUUCCGCUCGAUCUCCAUCUUGCUAAGCGUUACUACGAUCAAGCAUUAGAAGUCGAUCCGGCUGCUAAGUUACCCGUGACGCUCGCUCUGGCUAGCUUGUGGGUUCGAAAGAACCAUGCCGAUAGUUUCAUGGUUAGUUGUUGCGUCGUUUAGUGAGCUUUCUUCAUUCUCGUCAGCUGCUAUAGCCUAUAUGUGCUUAUCCGAAUUGUUUGUUGUUUAUGUUGUCCCAAUGUAGGUCGACAUGAUCGAUUCGUUGCCCGAAGUGUUCCCGAAAGUCGAAGCCUGGGUCGAAAACGUGAUCAUGGAAGAAGGAAACGCCACGAUAUUGACUCUCUUCGUCUGUCUUCUCACCGUCCUCUACCUUCGUGAACGACAACGCAGAAACGUUGCCGCUGCAGCUGGCGCCGGUGACGGCGCUGUACCGCCGCACCAACCGGUCGAGCCGGAUAGGAUUCACAACGGAGCGGAGGAGAACAAGGAAGCUCUGAGGAGGUUUAAAGGAGAGGAGGAUGAGGAUUUCCAGAUUCUGGAGUAUCAGGCUCAGAAGGGGAAUGCUGCAGCUAUGUACAAGAUUGGUCUGUUUUACUACUUUGGGUUGAGAGGAUUGAGGCGUGACUAUGUCAAGGCAUUGACUUGGUUCUCUAAGGCCGUGGAGAAAGGGGAGCCUAGAUCAAUGGAGCUUCUUGGUGAGAUUUACGCCCGGGGAGCUGGUGUUGAGAGGAACUAUACUAAAGCACUGAAAUGGCUUACUCUUGCUUCCAGACAGCAGCUUUACUCUGCGUAUAAUGGCAUGGGGUAUCUCUAUGUUAAAGGGUAUGGAGUGGACAAGAAGAACUACACCAAAGUAUGUUUACUUUCAAAAAAAAUUCAAGAUUUUGAAAAUUGAUAUAUUGGUCUUUUGUUACUUCUGGUUUGCUCACCUUGUUUUAUGAACUGCAUUUCUCGAGCUUCGAACAUGAUUCGCCAUGGUUUCUCUAUUGCGAGCUGGUGAUUCUACCAUUAGCUCCUUGUUUGAAGUUUACUCGGUGUCUAUGCCUUUAAUUUGAUGAUGUUUGCCCAACCUAUCACCUCGGUUCAGUUAUCUCUACGAUGUUCUCAUUGAGGUGAAUGUAUAUGUGACAGGCGAAAGAGUACUUUGAGAAGGCUGAGGACAAUGAUGAACCAGGUGGCCAUUAUAACCUAGGAGUUAUGUACCUCAAAGGAAUUGGCGUAAAGAGAGACAUAAGGCUGGCUUGUCAGUACUUCAUAGUUGCUGCUAAUGCUGGUCAACCCAAGGCGUUUUAUCAGCUGGCCAAGAUGUUUCAUACUGGUGUUGGACUCAAGAAGAACCUGGCCAUGGUACGUAAUUUUUUAACCUUCUUUGGUAUCUUGGAUUUUGACUGCGUGAAGAUAUUCCAUCGUAAAUAGAAACAGAGGGUGCAUCUUGUUAGGAAUAGGAACCGUGCGCUAAACAUUGUUUGCUUUUAGGUUUUGUUUCAGUAUCGUGUAGGUUAGUUUUCAGAAUUUACAUCUGUGUAUGUGUGAACCAUUGGUUUUGUUAAAUCCACCUUGGCGAGCAUCAGAGGAUUUGCUUAGGAAUUGGUAAUUGUUUAUAACUUGCAUACCGUGACAAUAGGUUAAAUUGUCGCGAAUCAUUCUAGUUAAUUUUAGUAGUGAAUUGCAACAAAAAUUUGGCUGAUCAGGGUACACGUUUCCUGAUCAAAUGGCUUCCUUGAUUUUGAUGACUGCUUGAGGCCAUUCCAUCACAACAGAGGUGCAAAUUGUUUGCUGAUGGAUCUGUAUUUGUGCACAGGCUACUGCGUUAUAUAAACUGGUAGCAGAAAGAGGACCAUGGAGUUCCUUGUCCAGAUGGGCACUAGAAUCCUACCUUAAAGGCGACAUAGGCAAGGCGUUCCUAUUAUAUUCCAGAAUGGCCGAGAUGGGGUAUGAGAUAGCCCAAAGUAACGCCGCAUGGAUCCUCGACAAAUACGGAGAAAGAAGCAUGUGCGUAGGUGAAUCCGGGUUCUGUACCGAUGCAGAAAGGCAUCAGCGAGCACACUCGUUGUGGUGGCAAGCUUCAGAGCAGGGCAACGAACACGCUGCGUUACUCAUCGGUGAUGCAUAUUACUACGGUCGGGUAUGCAUUAAAUACUCCAGAUCCGAAAAAAUCACUUCUUUAAGCUUACUGAUUGCUAAUUUCGUUGUUUAGGGUACCGAAAGGGACUAUGAACGAGCGGCGGAAGCAUACAUGCAUGCAAAGUCUCAAUCCAACGCACAAGCCAUGUUCAACCUCGGUUACAUGCACGAGCAUGGGCAAGGUCUUCCGCUCGAUCUCCAUCUUGCUAAGCGUUACUACGAUCAAGCAUUAGAAGUCGAUCCGGCUGCUAAGUUACCCGUGACGCUCGCUCUGGCUAGCUUGUGGGUUCGAAAGAACCAUGC